Molecule: non-coding RNA, 333 nt
Organism: Oncorhynchus mykiss (rainbow trout)
Lineage: Eukaryota; Metazoa; Chordata; Actinopteri; Salmoniformes; Salmonidae
Source: RefSeq, a predicted model, not a curated record
UGCAACAAGAUAAUCUUGACUGUCACUUUACAUUAUUGAGCUGUGGAGUUUGCAUGGAUGACUCAUUACUUUGUAAUGUUUAAAUACCUGUAGGUUAUAGGGUCCGUAGGCUACCGAGUUUGACCGUUUCUCCUGUGUGCCAAUGACCGAUUGCCAAAUGGUGUCUUCAGAUUUCACUGCAGAUGAGAGGUUGGAGAUUGAGAGCAUGAAGAUGCAUAAGAGAGACCUGCUAGAGGACAUCCAGAAGCUAAAGAUGGAGAUUGACAAAGUCAUGGCGGAAGUUCAAGACUUUGAGUCUACAGAGGAGAAGUGAGUGGUCUUUAAUCUUUUAUC